GAUCAUGGCUCAGGAUGAACGCUAGCUACAGGCUUAACACAUGCAAGUCGAUGGGCAGCAUGACGAUAGCUUGCUAUUGUUGAUGGCGACCGGCGCACGGGUGAGUAACGCGUAUCCAACCUUCCCAUAGCUAGGGAAUAACCUUGCGAAAGUAAGACUAAUGCCCUAUAACAUUCUUUGCAGACAUCUAAAGAGAAUUAAAGAUUUAUCGGCUAUGGAUGUGG
RNAcentral lists this ribosomal RNA (224 nucleotides) under uncultured bacterium. Its description in RNAcentral is "partial 16S ribosomal RNA". It matches the Rfam family "Bacterial small subunit ribosomal RNA", at positions 15 to 230 of the family's 1533-position model. The record is from RNAcentral.